Molecule: long non-coding RNA, 825 nt
Organism: Hyaena hyaena (striped hyena)
Lineage: Eukaryota; Metazoa; Chordata; Mammalia; Carnivora; Hyaenidae
Exons: 5
Source: RefSeq, a predicted model, not a curated record
GGGGAAUUUCAGGGCUGGAGUUCGUGGAAACAAUCCCUGAGUGGUUCUGCCUUGGGUUCCUGAGGUAAAGCUGGAAGCUAAAGACACCUGCACUGGGAUGGAUUGGACGUAGUCAGACAAGGAACAAUCCUUGCUUUAAAGGCGUUUUCCAUCUGACAAGAGGGGGCAGCUUUGCUGAGACAGACACCUGUGUCUGCUGGCCGCGGAGUAUAGGAGGCCUUUGGAGGGAAGGAAUGAGGACAAUGAGACUGAAAAGUCAUCGUCUAAUCCUUCCAGAAAGCCCUCCUGAGAUGGUACUUUAAGGUGAUGGCUUCAGCCAGUUUGGACAUUUACCUCCUUUUCCUGGAUCUCUCCUGUGUGUACUGAAACAUCCCUUACACCUUACAUUCCGUCUCCCAGGAUGGACACCUGUGUUGCCUUCAGCUGGCCUCCAGCCCCAGCAGUCCUGCGGUGACACGUCCCCUUGUGAGCCUGCGUGAGAACCCCCUGGGGAGGGGCGUUCUAAGCAUCCGUGGCUGACUCAGAUCUCCUGCAUGGCCAGGGCUGAGGGCCACUGGCAUCCCUCAACAGCUGUUAUGAUUGUUGAAGGCUUUCUUCAUACUUCUCACCUAUGGGACUGGCUCCUCCCCAGCUGAAAUCUAAGAUACUUUGGCUACUUCUUUUUUACCCCAUAAAAAUCUUCCUUUAGGAACUCUGAAUACUAAAGUAACAAUGAUGGAUCAUAUCUUAAAUGUGACCCUAUUUCCUAUCACUGCCGUAACAAAGUACCACAAUCGCAGUGGUUUAAAACAACACAGGUUUGGGGCGCCUGGGUGGCUUAGUCGG